GUCGAAGAGAUUUCUAAAGCACAAUUAAUGAUCGUAUGGAAUGAGAAAUCGAGCUUUGUGUUAUUACUAUAGGAUUAGUUUUUAGUUCCUGAAAGCUGGUCUAUUUAUGGGUAUCUAAGAUGGAAUUAAACUCUGAAAAGGUUAAUAUUUUUUUAAAAAACUGUUCUGUUGAAGGUCUAUUUCCUAUCACCUUUUAUAAGUUUCGCUUUGAAUUGUAGUUGCAAUCUGCAUUUGGAGUGAAUCCAGGAAGCUUGAAUAAUAAUGUAAUCCCCGGUGGAGCUGCUCUUCACAUAGGGAGUAGGAUAAAUGAAAUGCUACAUACAGAUUCCUGACAAUAUAUUCAUCCUGGUAACUCAGAGCUGAUGAAUUAUAGCAAGGCCACUCCUAAGGACAUCCUUUUACCUCCGUGGUGUACAUCAUAAUUUCAGGAAGAAAAACAAAACCCCAGCUUACAAAAGAAAUAAAGCCAUCCCUGAUUGAAAAGCAGUACCUUAAAAAUAUUUGUUGAAAGGAAAUAUUUGUUUUGCUGCAGGCAGAAUGAGGGGUAGAGAAUAGAAGACUAAAGGAGACAGGAGAAGAAACCGUUACCCUUUGCUGAGCUCGCUGGCCAUCUUUAAAGCUCUUGAACAUUUUAGCAGUUCCACAUCUUUUUUUUUUUUUUCUUGUGCGCUUGUCUUAUUUUCAUAAGGAAAUUUCUCCUCUUGUCUGGAGCCAGCAUUAUGUAGCUGAAAUCUUGGAUGAUGUGAUUUUAAGAUCAAAUAAGCCCUAAUAAGGGCUACAGAAAAGCACGAAGGGAAUUGGAACAGGAGGGAGUAGCCAGGACAAGUGAAAUAUCACCGAGGACACUGAACCUCCCCGCUCUGAGCACUGGCUCCUGGAGGCUGUUUGGUGAGGUAUUUACAGAUGCAAUAUUUCUGUCAUUCUCCUCCCUUAUUGCACCCUUUAUUCCUUUAAUGGGUGAAUUAGCCUUAAGUUCUUGUUAAAGCUAUUCCUUUUGGAAGAGAAAAUGAUGUACAUCAUUAUAACCAGGCAAACGGCCACUGGAGCCCAUGUCACCUUCAAGGAUGCUUUUCCUUGGGGAUGCGACUUUCACCAGCAGCCACAAUGUGAGUUCCUUGGCUCACACUUUGUUUCCUUUUUGUGCAUCUGAGUAUAACCUGGAGGGAUGAAGGGAAGAGAGAGUUUAGGGUGUACCCAGUUACACCAGGACCGAGGGAGCAUCCUUUACUGUUGGCGAGAGGAAGGGAUUUACAGGUCAGCUAUUCCAUGCUUUCCAUUUCACAGACAGAUAAACUGGGGCCCUGGGCAGCUUAGUGAAUUGCACAGGACUAAGCAGGAAGUUAGCGGUGGAACAGUUUCACUCCCUUAGGCGGCCCUGAGGAGGAAGCGGCUGGGAAGUGGAGACUGAGAGGGGCCUGAGAGGACAGUUAAGGUCCUUGCUCCUCAGAGAGGAGUUCUUGGACCGCAG
Molecule: long non-coding RNA, 1468 nt
Filed under: Heterocephalus glaber (naked mole-rat)
Lineage: Eukaryota; Metazoa; Chordata; Mammalia; Rodentia; Bathyergidae
Description: lncRNA (ENSHGLG00100037235.1)
Source: RNAcentral